AGUUCGGAUUGCAGGCUGCAACCCGCCUGUAUGAAGUUGGAAUCGCUAGUAAUCGCGGAUCAGCAUGCCGCGGUGAAUACGUUCCCGGGCCUUGUACACACCGCCCGUCACACCAUGAGAGUCGGGAACACCCGAAGUCCGUAGCCUAACCGCAAGGGGGGCGCGGCCGAAGGUGGGUUCGAUAAUUGGGGUGAAGUCGUAACAAGGUAGC
RNAcentral lists this ribosomal RNA (211 nucleotides) under uncultured bacterium. Its description in RNAcentral is "partial 16S ribosomal RNA". It matches the Rfam family "Bacterial small subunit ribosomal RNA", at positions 1290 to 1500 of the family's 1533-position model. The record is from RNAcentral.